RNAcentral lists this transfer RNA (71 nucleotides) under Marmota monax (woodchuck). RNAcentral's name for it is "tRNA.Ala". It matches the Rfam family "tRNA". Rfam says of the family: Transfer RNA (tRNA) molecules are approximately 80 nucleotides in length. Their secondary structure includes four short double-helical elements and three loops (D, anti-codon, and T loops). The record is from RNAcentral. Lineage: Eukaryota; Metazoa; Chordata; Mammalia; Rodentia; Sciuridae.
GGGGUUGUGGAUCAAUGGAAGAGCGCUUGCCUAGCACGCAUGAGGCACUGGGUUUGAUUCUCAGCACCACA